This 1562-nucleotide ribosomal RNA is filed under the name Enterococcus hirae ATCC 9790. RNAcentral's name for it is "Bacterial small subunit ribosomal RNA". It matches the Rfam family "Bacterial small subunit ribosomal RNA". Lineage: Bacteria; Bacillati; Bacillota; Bacilli; Lactobacillales; Enterococcaceae. The record is from Rfam by way of RNAcentral.
UUUUAUGAGAGUUUGAUCCUGGCUCAGGACGAACGCUGGCGGCGUGCCUAAUACAUGCAAGUCGAACGCUUCUUUUUCCACCGGAGCUUGCUCCACCGGAAAAAGAGGAGUGGCGAACGGGUGAGUAACACGUGGGUAACCUGCCCAUCAGAAGGGGAUAACACUUGGAAACAGGUGCUAAUACCGUAUAACAAUCGAAACCGCAUGGUUUUGAUUUGAAAGGCGCUUUCGGGUGUCGCUGAUGGAUGGACCCGCGGUGCAUUAGCUAGUUGGUGAGGUAACGGCUCACCAAGGCGACGAUGCAUAGCCGACCUGAGAGGGUGAUCGGCCACAUUGGGACUGAGACACGGCCCAAACUCCUACGGGAGGCAGCAGUAGGGAAUCUUCGGCAAUGGACGAAAGUCUGACCGAGCAACGCCGCGUGAGUGAAGAAGGUUUUCGGAUCGUAAAACUCUGUUGUUAGAGAAGAACAAGGAUGAGAGUAACUGUUCAUCCCUUGACGGUAUCUAACCAGAAAGCCACGGCUAACUACGUGCCAGCAGCCGCGGUAAUACGUAGGUGGCAAGCGUUGUCCGGAUUUAUUGGGCGUAAAGCGAGCGCAGGCGGUUUCUUAAGUCUGAUGUGAAAGCCCCCGGCUCAACCGGGGAGGGUCAUUGGAAACUGGGAGACUUGAGUGCAGAAGAGGAGAGUGGAAUUCCAUGUGUAGCGGGUGAAAUGCGUAGAUAUAUGGAGGAACACCAGUGGCGAAGGCGGCUCUCUGGUCUGUAACUGACGCUGAGGCUCGAAAGCGUGGGGAGCAAAACAGGAUUAGAUACCCUGGUAGUCCACGCCGUAAACGAUGAGUGCUAAGUGUUGGAGGGUUUCCGCCCUUCAGUGCUGCAGCUAACGCAUUAAGCACUCCGCCUGGGGAGUACGACCGCAAGGUUGAAACUCAAAGGAAUUGACGGGGGCCCGCACAAGCGGUGGAGCAUGUGGUUUAAUUCGAAGCAACGCGAAGAACCUUACCAGGUCUUGACAUCCUUUGACCACUCUAGAGAUAGAGCUUCCCCUUCGGGGGCAAAGUGACAGGUGGUGCAUGGUUGUCGUCAGCUCGUGUCGUGAGAUGUUGGGUUAAGUCCCGCAACGAGCGCAACCCUUAUUGUUAGUUGCCAUCAUUUAGUUGGGCACUCUAGCAAGACUGCCGGUGACAAACCGGAGGAAGGUGGGGAUGACGUCAAAUCAUCAUGCCCCUUAUGACCUGGGCUACACACGUGCUACAAUGGGAAGUACAACGAGUCGCAAAGUCGCGAGGCUAAGCUAAUCUCUUAAAGCUUCUCUCAGUUCGGAUUGUAGGCUGCAACUCGCCUACAUGAAGCCGGAAUCGCUAGUAAUCGCGGAUCAGCACGCCGCGGUGAAUACGUUCCCGGGCCUUGUACACACCGCCCGUCACACCACGAGAGUUUGUAACACCCGAAGUCGGUGAGGUAACCUUUUGGAGCCAGCCGCCUAAGGUGGGAUAGAUGAUUGGGGUGAAGUCGUAACAAGGUAGCCGUAUCGGAAGGUGCGGCUGGAUCACCUCCUUU